This 377-nucleotide ribosomal RNA is filed under the name Klebsiella pneumoniae. Its description in RNAcentral is "partial 23S ribosomal RNA". It matches the Rfam family "Bacterial large subunit ribosomal RNA", at positions 2447 to 2823 of the family's 2925-position model. The record is from RNAcentral. RNAcentral also lists the same sequence under 1 other name. Lineage: Bacteria; Pseudomonadati; Pseudomonadota; Gammaproteobacteria; Enterobacterales; Enterobacteriaceae.
GCUCAACGGAUAAAAGGUACUCCGGGGAUAACAGGCUGAUACCGCCCAAGAGUUCAUAUCGACGGCGGUGUUUGGCACCUCGAUGUCGGCUCAUCACAUCCUGGGGCUGAAGUAGGUCCCAAGGGUAUGGCUGUUCGCCAUUUAAAGUGGUACGCGAGCUGGGUUUAGAACGUCGUGAGACAGUUCGGUCCCUAUCUGCCGUGGGCGCUGGAGAAUUGAGGGGGGCUGCUCCUAGUACGAGAGGACCGGAGUGGACGCAUCACUGGUGUUCGGGUUGUCAUGCCAAUGGCACUGCCCGGUAGCUAAAUGCGGAAGAGAUAAGUGCUGAAAGCAUCUAAGCACGAAACUUGCCCCGAGAUGAGUUCUCCCUGAGACUU